CCUACGGGAGGCAGCAGUAGGGAAUCUUCCACAAUGGGCGAAAGCCUGAUGGAGCAACGCCGCGUGGGUGAAGAAGGUCUUCGGAUCGUAAAACCCUGUUGUUAGAGAAGAAAGUGCGUGAGAGUAACUGUUCACGUUUCGACGGUAUCUAACCAGAAAGCCACGGCUAACUACGUGCCAGCAGCCGCGGUAAUACGUAGGUGGCAAGCGUUAUCCGGAUUUAUUGGGCGUAAAGGGAACGCAGGCGGUCUUUUAAGUCUGAUGGGAAAGCCUUCGGCUUAACCGGAGUAGUGCAUGGGAAACUGGGAGACUUGAGUGCAGAAGAGGAGAGUGGAACUCAAUGUGUAGCGGUGAAAUGCGUAGAUAUAUGGAAGAACACCAGUGGCGAAAGCGGCUCUCUGGUCUGUAACUGACGCUGAGGUUCGAAAGCGUGGGUAGCAAACAGGAUUAGAUACCCGAGUAGUC
RNAcentral lists this ribosomal RNA (465 nucleotides) under uncultured bacterium. RNAcentral describes it as "partial 16S ribosomal RNA". It matches the Rfam family "Bacterial small subunit ribosomal RNA", at positions 338 to 795 of the family's 1533-position model. The record is from RNAcentral.